UAGGAUGUUUAGUUAAACACAGACAGCUU
Molecule: non-coding RNA, 29 nt
Filed under: Rattus norvegicus (Norway rat)
Lineage: Eukaryota; Metazoa; Chordata; Mammalia; Rodentia; Muridae
Source: RNAcentral